RNAcentral lists this ribosomal RNA (253 nucleotides) under uncultured bacterium. RNAcentral describes it as "partial 16S ribosomal RNA". It matches the Rfam family "Bacterial small subunit ribosomal RNA", at positions 524 to 776 of the family's 1533-position model. The record is from RNAcentral.
GACAGAGGUUGCAAACGUUGUUCGGAAUUACUGGGCAUAAAGCGCACGUAGGCGGUUCGUUAAGUCAUGUGUGAAAUCCCUCGGCUCAACCGAGGAAUUGCGCCUGAUACUGGCGGGCUAGAGAUCGAUAGGGGUGAGUGGAACUCCAGGUGGAGCGGUGAAAUGCGUAGAUAUCUGGAGGAACACCGGUGGCGAAGGCGGCGUUCUGGACUGUUACUGACACUGAGGAACGAAAGCCAGGGGAGCAAACGGG